This 69-nucleotide transfer RNA is filed under the name Nephotettix parvus. RNAcentral describes it as "tRNA-Asn". The record is from RNAcentral. Lineage: Eukaryota; Metazoa; Arthropoda; Insecta; Hemiptera; Cicadellidae.
UUAAUUGAAGCCAAAGGGGAGGCAACUUAAUGUUAAUAAGUUAAUUGAUAUUAAUUAUAUCCAAUUAAA